Molecule: ribosomal RNA, 301 nt
Filed under: uncultured bacterium
Lineage: Bacteria
Description: partial 16S ribosomal RNA
Rfam family: Bacterial small subunit ribosomal RNA
Source: RNAcentral
CAGUCGCCGCGGGAAUACGUAGGGUGCAAGCGUUAAUCGGAAUUACUGGGCGUAAAGCGUGCGCAGGCGGUUUUGUAAGACAGAGGUGAAAUCCCCGGGCUCAACCUGGGAACUGCCUUUGUGACUGCAAGGCUAGAGUACGGCAGAGGGGGAUGGAAUUCCGCGUGUAGCAGUGAAAUGCGUAGAUAUGCGGAGGAACACCGAUGGCGAAUGCAAUCCCCUGGGCCUGUACUGACGCUCAUGCACGAAAGCGUGGGGAGCAAACAGGAUUAGAUACCCCAGUAGUCCCUGUCUCUUAUAC